UUCUUCUUAUAAUAAGUAAAACAAAAACAAAUGCACCACUUUUUGUGAUAGAGGGCAUUUUACAAAGUGAGUGGGUGGCCUACACAAAACGAACCUGUCUUCAGAGGUUCAGUGUGUCCUAUUUGAUUUCUAUAGCACCUUACACAGCCAAUUGGCACUAAACAUGUUCACAAGCUCUGAGUGUCUUGUUUCUAUGAAGUUACGUCCAGACUUGUGUCUAUCAUGUGGAGGCAAGUACCACAGACUAGCCCUUUGAUCUUGGUAGAGACAAAACCUCUUUGGGCUUCAGUUUCUUUGUUUGUCAAAUAAGUGCUGUACAAUUAUCACAUAGACGGGUGUUUUGGAGACAGCACAUGAAACUUUUUCAAAGUGAAAAGAGCUAUGUAAAUUUAGGGUUACAUUUUGGUUUAAUUUCAGUAGUUACCAUGUGACCUUGUGACUUGUUCUACCUGAGCCUUUGUCACCAGUAACUUGGGGAAAAAUAAUAGCUACCUCAAAGAUUUGUGAGGAUUAAAAAAGACACUCUUAAACUGUGAACUCUGAAAAAUGAGGUUUUUAUUGCUUAUUGACUAUAUACAGAAAGUUUAAUUUUGAGUGAUUUAUUCCUUUAACUACAUCUUGAAAACCAGAUCAACCUCAAAUUCCCUUCAAAACUUGAAAAUUUUCUUGUGAAACCUGACUUACUUGCAUUAAACUGAAGGGAGGAUGUGAGGUUUGAAUGCUAUAAAGGAAAUGCUGUAUAGAACUUUGGGGCAUUUUAGUACUGAGCAAGGCUACUCUCAACAGGGCAUUAGAUAUCCACAGUGGAGCGUCAUACAUUAACUCCACACGGCAACUCAACACUCAGUGUGUGCCCACACGGACAAGAUAGGGGGAGGCGAGGCAGAGAGAAUUCGCAAUUGUUCCGGUGAAAAUUAAUCCAGUGGAAAAACACAUUGCUUUUCCAUUUUGUCAACUUUUGUGUCUCACAUCCACGUGCAUUUUGAGAUCAUGUAGUUUUUGUCCAAACACUUUCACUGGCACAUAAUUUUUUCUGAGUUCCUCUGGAAGCGUUUACUUCCCAUCCACGCUGCCUCAGUCUUUCACGAUGUGCAGCUGCUCCCUGGGUGUGAGGAUCUGGGGCCGGCACUGCACAGCUCACCGAGAGGACGCAGGCAGCUCAGAGGCAGAUGUGGUUGUGCUCCUGGCACGUGGUGCUCACACCGGCCACAGACAGGUACAGCUUCCCAUCUGGACACACACAGAUUUCGUAGAGGCUCUGUGAGCUGCCAGAGGGACCCCACGUCCCCUGCACCAGCUUGGGUAAGCACACAGUUUCAGCAUCAAGCACAAGCUGGUUGGGAGAAGAUGAGAGACGAAGAGUUAAGGAAGGGCCACCCUGGUCAGCAGCAAAUCCCCAUUCUCACAAGAUUUCCAAUUAGUUUCUUCUCCUCAUAGAAAACAAAAUAGGCACCUGACUUUAUGUAACUCAUUUCGUAAUUAUCCGAUUCUUUUAAAGCCCAGUUCUAUUUUACAUGCAGGCUGGGACUUCACAAUUCCUUCCACAUUGGAGGGAGGCGCUUUUCCGGUUUGUCAUUGUUUGAGUGCAGCUGAGAAAUGUGGCCCCAUUGUGAAAACAUGUUUCACCUUUACAGUUUGUUUUUGUUUCAAUAAACUGGGUUGCUUUUCAGUUUUGUGAUGCUAUGCUUCUCAAAACGCCUUUCAGAAUUAUUUGUCAAACAUAUUAGAAUUCUCCCGAUUCACAUUUAUCUUGUGACUCACUUUGACUUUAUGUAAAUCCUCUCCUCCCCAUUAGGAUAAAGUACAAUCCAUUAGAAUAGAUUCAUCUUAAUAAUUUUUACCCAUGAAUGAUGAAGUUUAUCCUGAUUUUAUUCCUGAUUUUGUUUUCCUAUGAGAGGCAAUUAAAUUCAUCCUAUUAGCUGGCAACCAUUUCCCUAAUUUUUAUAUAUUAUUUGAAACUGCACAGCCUCCUAUUAGAUGCUGAAAAGCAGUAGACACGCAGACUAAGCCAAUUAAAAUGAAAUGAAAACUACUGGAUAUUCUGGUCAUAUGAUAAUUUAGUUAAACUGAAGUGCAAACAAAGAGCCGUAGAUUGAGGCUUGGAAAUCUUUUUGAUAAGGAAAUAAAAAUCGUCACAUCCAGCAGCCAAACGUUGCCCACUCCAGGGCACUCACUUGUUACAAGGAAUUAAACUGAAUGUGGGUAGGCAUAAUUCUGUCCUUGCCAAGGAGAGCUCCUUCCUUUAUGUUAUGUGGCUCUUAUCCUUGCCUUCCAAUCUAUUAACAACCUGCUGUCUGCUGCACGCAUUCGCCGGUGUGCACCUGCCAGGUGAGGCUUGAUCACACGACCCCACAGCAUUGCAGGCAGCUCUGUGCCGUGCAUGGUCUGGUGCAGUCACGGUCAAAGAAGUCAAAUAGCUGUUAAUAUGUUUUUCAAGUAGAAUCUUUAGGUUAUUAUCUAACGCCUCAUUCUUGAUUUUUAUUUCUGCAUUUCUCUGCUCCUGACAUCACAACUUCAUAGGUUAUGACCUGCAGUGGCUUCCCCUGAAGACCUGUGUUCCACUAGCAGGCUGUCAUCUGAUGGGUCCUGCCCACACACUCUGGUGCUGUUCUCGCAGCUGGCUUGAUGAUGGCACCAUAUCCACCUACACCUUUACUACACGUUCCUAUUAAUAUCACAGUAAUGUAGUUUCAAAAUGUUGGCACCCAUAUUCCUACAGUAGUGUCUCAAAACCCUAUGACAUAAUUAAGCAAAUAUUAUAUUCCCUAUUUGCUGAGACAGGCCUAGAGAGGGCCGGAUAAGAGUCCUGAAUUCAAACAGGUAAUGAGGGAAUUUGAUCUAGCACUAGGACUCAGGCUUCCUGACUUCCAGGUGAAUCCUCUGCCCGCGGCACCACGUUACACCUGUUGGCGGGGGGGGGGGGGGGGGGAGGUGGAUGGGUGGGGGGCGGUCUGUGCAUCGCCGCAGGUGCGAUGAUAGGGCCUGGGCUGGGGAGGAGCUUGGAAACCCAUGUGCCUUCUUGUUGUACUAACAGCGUCCAUGGAUGUUUAUCCCAGCACAUUCACCCGGUGUAUGGAGAUGCACCUGACUGCAAUAACUCAGGCAAUCCCUGAGAAUGACUCUAUGAUCCAAGAAGAAUGUGUGUUCAGCCUUCUGAGCUAAGGAGUCUGGGAGUGGCAAACCCUGAGAUUCAGUCCACAUCUGUGAAGGACAUCGGAGCGCCUGGCCCAUCCCUUGCAACACAGGCCAUAUGGGGGAUCGAGGCCCUUUGUUUUGGGUUAAAUGGAAGUUGUUGCUAAGUGAAAAUGCUGUAUAACCUGCAUGCUUUUUAAAAAUGGGAGCAGUUUUCCAGUCCAGCUCGCUGCUACUGGACCGCCCUGUCUGUUAAGUCCUCAAUAAA
RNAcentral lists this long non-coding RNA (3400 nucleotides) under Homo sapiens (human). RNAcentral describes it as "HSALNT0198523". Lineage: Eukaryota; Metazoa; Chordata; Mammalia; Primates; Hominidae. The record is from RNAcentral.